AGCGAACGUUAGCGGCGGGCUUAACACAUGCAAGUCGAGCGAGAAAGUGGCUUCGGCCAUCAGUAAAGCGGCGGACGGGUGAGUAACACGUAGGUAAUCUUCCCUUGAGCGGGGGACAACGAGCCGAAAGGCUCGCUAAUACCGCAUAAGUUCCCAGAGUCCUCGGACUUUGGGAGGAAAGCUAGGUCGCAAGAUCCGGCACUCGAGGAGGAGCCUGCGUCGCAUCAGCAGUUGGUGGGGUAAUGGCCUACCAAGGCGAAGACGCGUAGCUGGUCUGAGGAGGA
RNAcentral lists this ribosomal RNA (284 nucleotides) under uncultured bacterium. RNAcentral describes it as "partial 16S ribosomal RNA". It matches the Rfam family "Bacterial small subunit ribosomal RNA", at positions 29 to 300 of the family's 1533-position model. The record is from RNAcentral.